RNAcentral lists this ribosomal RNA (311 nucleotides) under Listeria monocytogenes. RNAcentral's name for it is "bacterial SSU rRNA". It matches the Rfam family "Bacterial small subunit ribosomal RNA", at positions 1 to 300 of the family's 1533-position model. The record is from RNAcentral. Lineage: Bacteria; Bacillati; Bacillota; Bacilli; Caryophanales; Listeriaceae.
UUUAAAGAGAGUUUGAUCCUGGCUCAGGACGAACGCUGGCGGCGUGCCUAAUACAUGCAAGUCGAACGAACGGAGGAAGAGCUUGCUCUUCCAAAGUUAGUGGCGGACGGGUGAGUAACACGUGGGCAACCUGCCUGUAAGUUGGGGAUAACUCCGGGAAACCGGGGCUAAUACCGAAUGAUAGAGUGUGGCGCAUGCCACGCUUUUGAAAGAUGGUUUCGGCUAUCGCUUACAGAUGGGCCCGCGGUGCAUUAGCUAGUUGGUAGGGUAAUGGCCUACCAAGGCAACGAUGCAUAGCCGACCUGAGAGGG